UGAUCAGCCACAUGGAACUGAGACACGGUCCAGACUCCUACGGGGAGGCAGCAGUGGGGAAUAUUGCACAAUGGGCGCAAGCCUGAGGCAGCCAUGCCGCGUGUGUGAAGAAGGCCUUCGGGUUGUAAAGCACUUUCAGUUCGUGAGGAAGGUGGUGUAGUUAAUAGCUGCAUUAUUUGACGUUAGCGACAGAAGAAGCACCGGCUAACUCCCUGCCAGCAGCCGCGGUAAUACGGAGGGUGCGAGCGUUAAUCGGAAUUACUGGGGCGUAAAGCGCAUGCAGGUGGUUUGUUAAGUCAGAUGUGAAAGCCCGGGGCUCAACCUCGGAAUUGCAUUUGAAACUGGCAGACUAGAGUACUGUAGAGGGGGGUAGAAUUUCAGGUGUAGCGGUGAAAUGCGUAGAGAUCUGAAGGAAUACCGGUGGCGAAGGCGGCCCCCUGGACAGAUACUGACACUCAGAUGCGAAAGCGUGGGGAGCAAACAGGAUUAGAUACCCUGGUAGUCCACGCCGUAAACGAUGUCUACUUGGAGGUUGUGGCCUUGAGCCGUGGCUUUCGGAGCUAACGCGUUAAGUAGACCGCCUGGGGAGUACGGUCGCAAGAUUAAAACUCAAAUGAAUUGACGGGGGCCCGCACAAGCGGUGGAGCAUGUGGUUUAAUUCGAUGCAACGCGAAGAACCUUACCUACUCUUGACAUCCAGAGAACUUUCCAGAGAUGGAUUGGUGCCUUCGGGAACUCUGAGACAGGUGCUGCAUGGCUGUCGUCAGCUCGUGUUGUGAAAUGUUGGGUUAAGUCCCGCAACGAGCGCAACCCUUAUCCUUGUUUGCCAGCGAGUAAUGUCGGGAACUCCAGGGAGACUGCCGGUGAUAAACCGGAGGAAGGUGGGGACGACGUCAAGUCAUCAUGGCCCUUACGAGUAGGGCUACACACGUGCUACAAUGGCGCAUACAGAGGGCAGCCAACUUGCGAAAGUGAGCGAAUCCCAAAAAGUGCGUCGUAGUCCGGAUUGGAGUCUGCAACUCGACUCCAUGAAGUCGGAAUCGCUAGUAAUCGUGGAUCAGAAUGCCACGGUGAAUACGUUCCCUGGGCCUUGUACACGCCGCCCGACACACCAAAAAAGUGCCC
Molecule: ribosomal RNA, 1125 nt
Filed under: Vibrio parahaemolyticus
Lineage: Bacteria; Pseudomonadati; Pseudomonadota; Gammaproteobacteria; Vibrionales; Vibrionaceae
Description: bacterial SSU rRNA
Rfam family: Bacterial small subunit ribosomal RNA
Source: RNAcentral